Rhododendron vialii is the source of this 1457-nucleotide RNA transcript. It is a transcript of the gene named protein MHF1 homolog, with no coding region annotated. NCBI's taxonomy places the organism in Eukaryota, Viridiplantae, Streptophyta, Magnoliopsida, Ericales, Ericaceae. The record is from RefSeq and is a predicted model, not a curated record. The transcript is spliced from 5 exons.
UUUCCGUCCUAAAAAUCCUACGGUACUUCCUGGCUCCCGCUCGAUUUGAGAGAGAGAGAGAGAGAGAGAGAGAGAGAAACAGGAGAGACAAAAUUGUGGAGAUGGAAGGAGGGGGAGGAAUGGGAAGCGAUGUGGAGAGAGAAGAAAAAGAAGAGGACGCGGCCACUGAUUUACUCAGGGAUCGUUUCCGACUCUGCACUAUCUCCAUCGCCGAAUCCGAAGCAACACGCAACAACGUGGAAAUUUCUCAACCUAUAAUGUCCUGCAUCGCUGAUUUAGCCUUCAAAUAUACAGAGCAGUUGGCGAAGGACCUUGAGUUGUUUUCACAACAUGCAGGCCGUAAAUCUGUGAACAUGGAAGAUGUCAUUCUUUCUGCUCAUAGGAAUGAACAUCUAGCUGGCUUAUUGAGGUUCUUCUGCAAUGAUCUGAAAGCAAAAGAACCCCAGUCUGAGAGGAAAAGGAAAAAAGGACCAAGAAAAGAAGACAACGCUGCAGACGCAAAAGAACCCCAGACUGAGAGGAAGCGGAAAAAAGGACCAAGAAAAGAAGACAAGGCUGCGGCUGGAGCAACAAUCCACAUUCCUGACCUUUAGCUCAGUAACUCUUGGUAAUAUUAUCACAUCGACAAAGAAAAAUGGUCAUAUGAAUAGAAGGUUGGUUCAUAUAUAGACACCAAACGGGCAUUGCUUAUACAGAGUUGUCCUGAUGUUAGGAGCAUGUAACUACCCCUUGACUACCUGAGUAGGUGGCGCAUGUCUAGACGAUGUGGAAGUUAAAAAACUGUUUUCGUCUUAUCAUGUCAUGGAACAUCUGCUGCUGCUUGAUGGAGAUAGUUGCCCAUAAUAUGGCUCACCAACUUCACUUGCCUCUAUGGGGGGCUCUCUCCGGGCAGGUUCGGAUCACUUUCUAGGUCCCCAAGCUUUUUUAACCUUGGGGAACCUAAACCGGCCUAUGCUCUUUCCUUUUCUUUUUGUUAGAUGUCAUUUAUUUCCAACAUAAAACAACCACACAAAGAACGGAGAACUCCUGGGGCAUCCCUCAGGUCAGUCCACAAUCAACAGAAAAGUGAAAGAUACUCUUCCACUGCCUCAGAAUGCGCUAGGACCCGUGGCCGGUUGGCCCCAAGGGAGCAGACCCACACAAGGCAGCUGUGAUUGGUGACACUAUCAGUGACCCUCUCAGGCCCGUCACUCAGCAUUCUUAUCAAGCUAAUGGCAGUUGAAUCGCUUGUGUUUGCUCCCUUCUUUGCCGCUCGUGGUGGCCUGCUUUUUAAGAUCUUCUGAGAGGGAGCGGAUGAAAAGAAAUAGAUGUGGGAGGCGGUUCAAACUUGUCCCUUGUAUUGGUAUCAUCAUCUCUAGUUUCAUAUCAUUUCACUGUUUUGGAACAGAGAGUUAUUUAAUUCCUUGUAUUGGCAUCUGUUUCCUUUUAAUUAAUGAAGGAGAGCUUGAACGGCCUAA